This 477-nucleotide ribosomal RNA is filed under the name unidentified. RNAcentral describes it as "Burmoniscus sp. partial 16S ribosomal RNA". It matches the Rfam family "Bacterial large subunit ribosomal RNA", at positions 1808 to 2609 of the family's 2925-position model. The record is from RNAcentral.
CAAAAACAUUUCUUCUAUUAACUCAUUGAAGUACUCCCUGCUCACUGAUCUAUUUAAAGAGCCACAGUAUAUUAACUGUUCUAAGGUAGCAAAAUCAUUUGAUAGAUAAUUGCUUUCUAGAAUGAAAGGGUAAACAAGAAUAAUGCUUUCUUCCCACCUUUGGAUAAUUUUCAAAAUUAAAUAAAAAUGUUUAUUCCUCCUAGAAGGACGACAAGACCCUAGAACCUAACUUAUUUCUUAAACUAUUUACUGGGACGGUAAAAUUAACUCAAAAAAAUAAACAAACAUUCUGCAUGAAUACUUCCAAACCUGCCACUUCAUGAUUAAUAAGGUACUCUAGGGAUAACAGCAUAAUUUUUUUUUAGAGCCCUCAUCGACAAAAAAGAUUUUGACCUCGAUGUUGAAUUAUAAUUCCUGGAUCAAGCAACCUUUAUUCAAGGAGGUCUGUUCGACCUUUAAACCUAUACGUGAUCUGAG